RNAcentral lists this long non-coding RNA (204 nucleotides) under Lathyrus oleraceus (garden pea). RNAcentral's name for it is "Pisum sativum (pea) long non-coding RNA (PSAT_LNC010593)". Lineage: Eukaryota; Viridiplantae; Streptophyta; Magnoliopsida; Fabales; Fabaceae. The record is from RNAcentral.
UUUGAUUUUUCUUUUAUUUUUCACCCUCUCCCUUUUUUUUUAUUGCAUUUGCAAUGCCCCAGCUUGACUGUUUUGCUGAUUCUCAGGAUACAGCUGAAUGAGCUUCCUUUCGUGCUCAAGAAGACGGGUAAUCUCAUCAGGAAUCCCCUUCAACAUCAUCUUCCUCUGCUUCAAAUACAAGGAAUUCAAGAUUGGGAGAUAGCG